This 303-nucleotide ribosomal RNA is filed under the name uncultured bacterium. RNAcentral describes it as "partial 16S ribosomal RNA". It matches the Rfam family "Bacterial small subunit ribosomal RNA", at positions 507 to 808 of the family's 1533-position model. The record is from RNAcentral.
AGCAGUAGCCGCGGUAAAACGGAGGGGGCUAGCGUUGUUCGGAAUUACUGGGCGUAAAGCGCACGUAGGCGGCUUGGUAAGUUAGAGGUGAAAGCCCGGAGCUCAACUCCGGAAUUGCCUUUAAGACUGCCGGGCUAGCAGGUGAGAGAGGUAAGUGGAAUUCCGAGUGUAGAGGUGAAAUUCGUAGAUAUUCGGAAGAACACCAGUGGCGAAGGCGGCUUACUGGCUCAUACUGGACGCUGAGGUGCGAAAGCGUGGGGAGCAAACGGGAUUAGAUACCCCUGUAGUCCCUGUCUCUUUACA